AUAUCCAUCAGGCUGGGCUUGGGUGUAAUGGCUUCCACGGGGUUUAUAAAGGUGCUGAGGUCUGUUCCUGUAACGUAUGGUUCAUGGUUAUGGUUGUGCAGCCAGUUUGUUAGAGGGGAAGCAGGGGAUGAGGCUUUUCAGCCUUUGCUUUCCUUCUUCUCCUCUGAAUUUGUUACCUCCCUAUUAGAGAAUGUUCAGUUUCCCCUGACUGUUAAAGAGACCAUCUUCCUGGUGUUUAAUCUGGUAAGCUUUCUCUAUACAGUCUGCAGUCUCUCUAGACUGAGGGCUGAGAUUUCUAGAGGGGCUGAUGAGACCUCUGAUCCAGGAGUAGACCCAGGUGUGAGGAAUCCUGAGUGGUGUGGGAAAUGGGAGGAUAUGGGCCAAAUCUUAAAGGAAUUUUCUGACCCUAUAGCCUGGGACUUUCCAUGUGAACAAAUUCAGAAUCCAGCUGAGGUGGCAAAGUACCUGAAAGAGAAGUGCCAUGAUAACUCUAAGGAGAAAAAGAUCAUUGCCGUGAGCUGGGCCCUGGCAUAUGCUUAUCGCACCCUGCUAGAUACUGUAGGGCAGCAGACAGAGGAAAGGGGGCAGGGAGAUAAAUCAGCAGCUAUCCCAGUCACUCAGGCUGCAGCCAACAGCCCAGGCUCGAAGCCAGCAGCUAAAUCAGACAGUGAGCCUAAGCUAGCAGCUAAACCAGACUCAGCAGCUAAGCCUCAACCAAUGGCUGUUGCUACUAGCACAAGAAGUGGGAAGCACACAGAAAAGACCAAUCGACCAGUGCAUGAUGAUGAUGAUAAUGCAGGAGAAGGACCCUCAAUGCCUGCUGGCAUAAAAUCAGAAGUCAAAGCAACUGGUGCAAGAUCAGAGGCCAAUAUUGAGUCCUUUUCCCUAAAGGACCUUUGUGGCCUAAGAAAGGAUUACACUCAAUGACCUGAUGAGCCUGUAAUUAGUUGGUUGGUCCGCCUUUGGGAUGCUGCAGGUGAGGCUACAACUCUGGAUGGUACUGAGGCAAGACAUUUGGGAUCCCUGUCACAUGAUCCUGUCAUUGACCAAGGAAUGAUGAGGGGGGCUAACCCUCACAGCCUCUGGGCACAGGUUCUGGAAAGUGUAGCACAAAGAUACCUGUGUGCAGAUGAUCUCUAUAUGCAGCAGAUCCAGUGGAAGACUAUAGAACAAGGGAUCCAACGUCUGAGAGAAAUGGCAGUGGCAGAGAUUAUCUUCUCAUAUGAAAUAACAACUAGAAAUCCAGACUUGGUACCAUGUACAUCUGUGAUGUGGUGAAAAC
RNAcentral lists this long non-coding RNA (1282 nucleotides) under Lonchura striata (white-rumped munia). RNAcentral's name for it is "domestica (Bengalese finch) lncRNA (ENSLSDG00000010499.1)". Lineage: Eukaryota; Metazoa; Chordata; Aves; Passeriformes; Estrildidae. The record is from RNAcentral.